Molecule: ribosomal RNA, 455 nt
Filed under: uncultured bacterium
Lineage: Bacteria
Description: bacterial SSU rRNA
Rfam family: Bacterial small subunit ribosomal RNA
Source: RNAcentral
UAGGGAAUUUUGGGCAAUGGGCGAAAGCCUGACCCAGCAACGCCGCGUGUGGGAUGAAGGCCCUCGGGUCGUAAACCACUGUCAGGAGGAAAGAAAAGUCGGCCGGAUAAUACUCGGUCGACCUGACGGUACCUCCAAAGGAAGCACCGGCUAACUCCGUGCCAGCAGCCGCGGUAAUACGGAGGGUGCAAGCGUUGUUCGGAAUUACUGGGCGUAAAGCGCGUGUAGGUGGUCGAGUAAGUCGAAUGUGAAAGCCCCGGGCUCAACCCGGGAAGUGCAUCCGAAACUGCUCGACUAGAGUCCCGGAGAGGAAGGCAGAAUUCCCAAUGUAGGGGUGAAAUCCGUAGAUAUUGGGAGGAAUACCGGUGGCGAAGGCGGCCUUCUGGACGGUGACUGACACUCAGACGCGAAAGCGUGGGGAGCAAACAGGAUUAGAUACCCCGGUAGUCCCUGAG